AGCAUUCCUGGCAUUGAGAGACACGAACAAAAGGGGAAAGAAAACAACAGCGUCUUCGUUAACUCUACCAUAGCGUUCUACCAAUUUUCGGGGCCACUCUCUUUUCCCCUUUUCCAUCUCUAAAUUUUGGGUGCGAUUUCCCUCAAAAUAUUUCAAUCUCUUCCAAUAUUUCAGUCAUUAGGUCGUCAAGAGGUCUGCAGCGUGAGUUCGGUUCAGAUGGGUUUAUCGACAGAUUUGCACUGGUCUUCCUCUCUAUUCACUUUGUAUCAGAUAUCAGUGUGAGUUCGAUUCUUCUGGGUUUCAAUCAAAGAAGCAAACCUGUUGCACCAAUUGAGGCAAAGAAUCAACGAACAGAGAAGCCCUAAACAGGUGAUUGUGGCAAUGGCGACAGUAGCGGCGGCUGCAAGUGUGGCUGUUGUUGUGUCCACAAUGGAGCUAAGAUGGAGGACAUACAGCCACGCCCAGGGAUGGAAUAGCUCCCAGGGGUCCAAUAUUGCAUCAAUAGUCCUCCUCUAUGACUGGAAGUCGUAGUUCUCAUGUUCCAGCAUUAUCUGAUGACCCUAGGUACAACUGUCUUGAUUCCAAGUAUGUUUGUAAACCAAAUGGGAGGCAGUAAUGUUGAGAUGGCCAAGGUGAUACAGACCUUACUAUUUGUUUUAGGACUAAAUACACUAAUGCAGUCCUUAUUUGGCACCCGACUUCCCUCAGUAAUCGGUGGUUCAUACGCAUUUGUUAUUCCCAUGACUUCCAUUCUACAUGCCGGAAGAUAUCACUUGUCAUCUCCGGAGCCCAAUGGAGAUUACUGCACAUAUCAUAAGUUUGAAAGGACAAUGAGAGGUAUGUAGGGUGCUCUCAUUAUUGCCUCUUGUUUCUAGAUGCUUAUCGGCUUCUUAGGAGUGUGGAGAAAUGUUGUAAGGUUUCUUACCCCUCUUUCUAUGGUUCCUCUCAUGACUUUUGCUGGACUUGGGCUAUACUAUCUUGGUUUUCAAAUGCUGGCAAAGUGUGUCGAAAUUGGGAUCCCCGAGCUAAUUCUAAUGGUUAUCGUCUCACAGGCAAGUAAUUGUUGUUUGUCAACUGCUCAAUGAUGCAUUUGAGAAAGUUUCUUGGUUUUUCGUGUAAAUGCAUCGCUCUGAAGCAAAGUAACUGUAUUAACUGACUUUCCAUAUGCAACUGAAAUUUGUGUGAUGAUUUGGCAAUAUCUUCCCCAUUAUGCAAAAGCAAAAACAAAGAGACGUGUAUGUGAUUGAUUUGCACUUCUGUUCUUUGUUGCAUUCGUAUGGGGCUAUGCGCAAAUUCUCACUUCAACUGGUGUAUAUCAUAACGCUUCUGCAGCCACUCAAGCUAGUUGUCGCAUUGAUCGCACUGGCCUCAUUACUGGAGCUCCUUGAUUUAUAUUCCUUAUCCAUUCCAAUGGGGGAGACCUACUUUUCAAGCUGGUGAAGCUUUCACAAUGACGGCUGCUUCUCUUGAGUCUACUGGCGCAUUCCUUGCAACAGCAAGAUAUGGGAGUGCUACACCUGUUCCAGCUUCUGUUUUAAAAGGGUAUAAGCAAGAUAAUCUUCAAGUAAAGAAAUCUAUAGCCCAGUACAUGAUUACAUUUUCAGGAAAGGGGAAUUACAUUAGUUUUUUUCAAUGAGUCUAAUUAGUCGGACUCUUUUAUGUUAUUUUUUUAUCGUCUCUUUUAUGUACUUUGGGAAAUUGUUUUCCAAGCUAAUGUAAUGAAUCUUUAUUCAAUGGUUAAGUUGUUUAUUGUA
Rhododendron vialii is the source of this 1754-nucleotide RNA transcript. RefSeq lists it as uncharacterized. The record is from RefSeq and is a predicted model, not a curated record. NCBI's taxonomy places the organism in Eukaryota, Viridiplantae, Streptophyta, Magnoliopsida, Ericales, Ericaceae. The transcript has 10 exons.